CAGGAACUGCAGUCUAAGUUUAGCACCUAAACGGCGAAACUGCGAAUGGCUCAUUAAAUCAGUUAUCGUAUAUUUGAUAGUACCUACUACAUGGAUAACCGUGGUAAUUCUAGAGCUAAUACAUGCUUAAAAUCCCGACUUCGGAAGGGAUGUAUUUAUUAAAUUAAAAACCAAUGCCCUUCGGGGCUCACUGGUGAUUCAUAAUAACUUCUCGAAUCGCAUGGCCUUGUGCCGGCGAUGGUUCAUUCAAAUUUCUGCCCUAUCAACUUUCGACGGCUGGKUCUUGGCCAGCCGUGGUUACAACGGGUAACGGAGGGUUAGGGCUUGACCCCGGAGAAGGAGCCUGAGAAACGGCUACUACAUCCAAGGAAGGCAGCAGGCGCGCAAAUUACCCAAUCCCGACUCGGGGAGGUAGUGACAAUAAAUACUGAUACAGGGCUCUUUUGGGUCUUGUAAUUGGAAUGAGUACAAUUUAAAUCCCUUAACGAGGAACAAUUGGAGGGCAAGUCUGGUGCCAGCAGCCGCGGUAAUUCCAGCUCCAAUAGCGUAUAUUAAAGUUGUUGCAGUUAAAAAGCUCGUAGUUGAACCUUGGGCCUGGCUGGCCGGUCUGCCUCACCGCAUGCACUGGUCCGGCCGGGCCUUUCCCUCUGGGGAGCCGCAUGCCCUUCACUGGGUGUGUCGGGGAACCAGGACUUUUACUGUGAAAAAAUUAGAGUGUUCAAAGCAGGCAUAUGCUCGAAUACAUUAGCAUGGAAUAAUAGAAUAGGACGUCGCGGUUCUAUUUUGUUGGUUUCUAGGACCGCCGUAAUGAUUAAUAGGGACAGUCGGGGGCAUCAGUAUUCAAUCGUCAGAGGUGAAAUUCUUGGAUCGAUUGAAGACUAACUACUGCGAAAGCAUUUGCCAAGGAUGUUUUCAUUAAUCAGGAACGAAAGUUAGGGGAUCGAAAACGAUCAGAUACCGUUGUAGUCUUAACCAUAAACUAUGCCGACUAGGGAUCGGGCGGUGUUAUUUCUUGACCCGCUCGGCACYUUACACGAAAGUAAAGUUUUUGGGGUUCUGGGGGGGGAGWAUGGUUCGCAAAGGCCUGAAAACUUAAAGAAAUUGACGGAAGGGCACCACAAGGGGUGGAGCCUGCGGCUUAAUUUGACUCAACACGGGGAAACUCACCAGGUCCAGACACAACUAGGAUUGACAGAUUGAGAGCUCUUUCUUGAUUUUGUGGGUGGUGGUGCAUGGCCGUUCUUAGUUGGUGGAGUGAUUUGUCUGCUUAAUUGCGAUAACGAACGAGACCUUAACCUGCUAAAUAGCCCGUGCCGCCUAGGCGGCACGCCGGCUUCUUAGAGGGACUAUCGGCUCAAGCCCAAGGAAUUU
Molecule: ribosomal RNA, 1371 nt
Filed under: Diaporthe phaseolorum
Lineage: Eukaryota; Fungi; Ascomycota; Sordariomycetes; Diaporthales; Diaporthaceae
Description: SSU rRNA
Source: RNAcentral